RNAcentral lists this ribosomal RNA (255 nucleotides) under uncultured bacterium. RNAcentral describes it as "partial 16S ribosomal RNA". It matches the Rfam family "Bacterial small subunit ribosomal RNA", at positions 524 to 776 of the family's 1533-position model. The record is from RNAcentral.
GACAGAGGUGCCGAGCGUUAGGCGGAAUCACUGGGCUUAAAGCGUGUGUAGGCGGCCCGUUAAGUGUCUUGUGAAAUCCCACGGCUCAACCGUGGAACUGCUGGGCAUACUGGACAUCUUGGAGGCACUCAAGGGCGAGCGGAACAAGUGGUGGAGCGGUGAAAUGCGGUAGAUAUCAGGAGGAACACCGGUGGCGAAGGCGGGUCUCUGGGCCGAUACUGACGCUGAGGAGCGAAAGCGUGGGGAGCGAACAGG